UGCAGCUCCGCCCAGUCCUCGGGCGCCGGGAAGAGCGCGGACGCCCACAGCAGCACCGUCUGCAGCGGGGCGGGACCAGCCUGAGCCUGUGGCAUCGUCCUGGCCCAGGUGACUGAAGUUCAGGCCGGGGCUCUGGCCGCCGUCGCGCCAGCUCUCGUGGUUGACCCGGUCCAGGAUGGAGAGGCCGUCCAGACGGUGGCCCGGGAGGGAGCCCAGCGCA
This is a long non-coding RNA of Prionailurus viverrinus (fishing cat), 220 nucleotides long. RefSeq lists it as uncharacterized. NCBI's taxonomy places the organism in Eukaryota, Metazoa, Chordata, Mammalia, Carnivora, Felidae. The record is from RefSeq and is a predicted model, not a curated record. The transcript has 3 exons.